RNAcentral lists this long non-coding RNA (674 nucleotides) under Oryctolagus cuniculus (rabbit). RNAcentral describes it as "lncRNA (ENSOCUG00000032999.1)". Lineage: Eukaryota; Metazoa; Chordata; Mammalia; Lagomorpha; Leporidae. The record is from RNAcentral.
AACAUAUGGGCACGAUCUGCGCCGCGGAGGGACCCGGCUUGCGACGCUUGCUGCCCGCUGCCCGCUGCCCGCGGCUGCGCCCCCGACCGAGCCUGCAGGCGCACAGGUGCCCAGCGUCCGUCCGAGCACGGGGCCGACCCUUGAAGUCGCCGGCCGGCCUCACCGGGGACACAGGGCUUCUCCUCUGCAGACCACAGCUGGCACCCGGCCCCUGUACUCCACCACAGACCCAGCGGCACCCUUGGGAGAACCUAGCGCACUCGACAACUACACCUCCUGUGUAUCGUGAAAUCCCCCUGGGGGAAACAUCGGUACUCAGACGCCCACAGUACUCGUCCUGGAACACGGGUGCCUGCCCCUCCUCUUCCUUCUUCACCGGGAGCUUCGAGCAAGGCCCUGGGAACAGAAGAGGUGUGCAACUGUCCAAGAGGCAUGCAACCAUCCAAGAGGCGUGCAACCAUCCAAGAGGUGUGCAACCAUCCAAGAGGCGUGCAACCAUCCAAGAGGCAUGCAAUCGUCCAAGAGGCGUGCAAUCAUCCAAGAGGUGUGCAAUCAUCCAAGAGGCGUGCAACCAUCCAAGAGGCGUGCAACCGUCCAAGAGGCGUGCAACCAUCCUGUCUGACAAGAACGCUGUGCAGGUGAAAGGCCAAGACAUCACUAGUGCCACAUCCUGA